UUCUUGCUUGCAUAUCCGACACACGGAUGGUUGAAGUGGAGGUGCCAAGCAACAUGUCAACAACUUCUCCAUUGAUGCCGCAAACAGGACAUCAAUAACAGCAAUAUUUCGUCAUUAUCAGUCCUUCCAUCAAAAUAAAAAGGAAAUAAAGAGAAGAGACGAGUGAUGGUGAGGGUUUACCGUGAAGUUUGUCGGUCGGAGAUAAAGACCGCCGCCGUGAGCCGGAAAAGGGGGAGUCGAAGGGGGUGUGGCCGGUGAACCGACUGGAGGUGCUCCGUUUUGUCGGGUUACAGGGAACCAAAGGGGGGGGGUGGUGAAAUGAGAUGUUUGUGUUAUGUAUGAGGUGUAUAGGUGAAGAACCCUGUGUUGUAGAUAAGAUGCAGGGGGUUUGGGAGGGAAACAUCUUUGGGAGCGGCUGA
RNAcentral lists this long non-coding RNA (419 nucleotides) under Helianthus annuus (common sunflower). RNAcentral describes it as "hypothetical non coding rna". The record is from RNAcentral. Lineage: Eukaryota; Viridiplantae; Streptophyta; Magnoliopsida; Asterales; Asteraceae.